Picea glauca (white spruce) is the source of this 45-nucleotide non-coding RNA. The record is from Rfam. Lineage: Eukaryota; Viridiplantae; Streptophyta; Pinopsida; Pinales; Pinaceae.
CAAAUGGUGUUCCUAAACACCACCCUGUUUCACAAUAAAUGCUAA